Molecule: non-coding RNA, 2035 nt
Organism: Rattus norvegicus (Norway rat)
Lineage: Eukaryota; Metazoa; Chordata; Mammalia; Rodentia; Muridae
Source: RefSeq, a predicted model, not a curated record
GAUAUCCUCCUAAUGCUUAACUGCGAUAAGAGAAGCAAGAAACACUUUGUGGUAUCUGUGUCAAGUACAUAUAAUCUCAACCUAAAAGAGGAAAACUACUGGGCAAAUCCAAAUUCAGAGACAUUCUUGCAAGUUGUACAUAUGCUUGUUCACAUGUGCAACACAUGCAUGCCUACUGUCCAGGAGGUUGAAGAAGGUGUGAGGUUCCGUGAUGCUGAAAUUACAGCCACUUGUGAGCUGUCAACGGGUUCUCUGGAAGAACAGGUGAAGAAUGGAGUAUCCACAAAUGACAAUACCAAAUAUACUCCCUCCUGUUCUUAUGAGCCUAUUGAGGUUGAGGUUUUACUGGAACUCAAGCCAUUCUUCUCCCUUCUCAUCAUCCUGUAUCUAUUGUUUGGCUUGAAGAAAGUAUCAUUGUAAAACAUCCAAAAGCCUGAAGUCUCACCCUUGGAACACAGGAAGCAAAACUCUCAAAUAUCAUCCUGGGUGACGAUGUAGAUUAGACCCAUCAGAUGAAAUGAAGAAUUGAAAAACUCUCCUGGGGAUGAAAAUGAACCAGAAUUUUGCCACAGAUAUACAUACGGAGUGCGAGCCACUGUUCAGUGCAUUCCUGCUUGGCUUUAUUUCAUUCAGUGCCUGUGCUGGUACUGUGACACAAGAAGAGCCUUUUCUCAUCCAGUACAUGCUGCCUGGCAAAUACUCUACGACUUUCUUCAUCGUGACAUUUCCAGCCCUUUACAGCACCCACAAAGAACAAAGUCACUCUGACACCAUGGUGUUCUUUUACCUGUGGUCAUCCUUUGCAUCAUCAGCUCCUGCUAUAUCCUCAUCUGGGAUCUCAAGAUGGACUGGGGUUUCUUUGAUAAGAAUGCAGGAGAUAACAAUUUCCUCUGUCAAGAAAUUUUAUACCCCCAAAAAGCAUGUGUGGAACAUUUACACUUAUCUUAGAUAUAUCUUUAGAUAGGUCAUACAGCAGUACUGACACAGGUCUAGUUAACUAAUAUGAUUACAAAACAAUUAUCCCAGAUACCAAUAUAGUCCACAAAACACCGUAUCUGUUUUUUUUUGUGUAGUAGAGCCAGUGGGACAUUUGUUAGAAUUGAGUGCCAACCCAAUCAAAGUGGGAGAAAAAAUAUAUAUGUCAUAUAUUGUAUAUAAUAUAUUUUAUAUUAUAUUAUAUUAUUUAUGAUUUUACUGGCAUAUUAGAGUUACAGGGCUAAGAAAUGCUGAAUUUUAAAUUAAAAGAACAAGAAUCCUUACACAGAUGAUUUAGUAAAGGUAAAUGUGAUUAGAUAUUGAAAACAUUGAGCCAUGAACUGGGAAUCUAGCUGUCCUUAUCCAAUCGCAGCUGUACACCAACUAGGCCAUUCAGACAGCGAAGUCUGCAGAAGAUUAUCAAAGUAAGAGUGUUAGACUUCAUUAAUUCUUGAUAAUUUUAUUGGCCUAAUGUUCUGCUGUGGAUAGCAUAGAGAUUGAGUUAACAAUUUUUAAGGAUUUAUAUAUUAUUUCAUGCAUAUGACUACCCUGUAGCUGUCUUCAGACACACCAGAAGAGGGCAUCAGAUUCCAUAACAGAUGGUUGUGAGCCACCAUGUGGUUGCUGGGAUUUGAUCUCAGGACAUCUUGAGAGUGUUUUUAACUGCUGAACCAUCUUUCUAAGCCUGAGUUAAUGUAUUGACCUAUAUCAAAAUGUCACCAUUAUGUCAAAUUUGUGUUUUGAAAAGAAUGUGAUUGUGGGGUCCUGGGCAGAGAAAGUUGCCUGUGAAGACUGGAGCAGCAUACGUAAGCAAAUGCUGUGUGUAUCAGGGCCUCGGGUGAGCCCUUGCAGGGAAGCAGUCAUCCUCACAUGAGAAUUUAGGAAACAUCACUGAGCAUUGAACCUACUUUUUUAUAAUUCUCAACUAAAGGGAAACAAGGGGCAGGGCCAGGUGUCAGCAUGCAGGCACAAGCAGGCACAGGAUGCAGAUUUCAGUCCCUAGUACCGUUUUAAAGAAAGAAAGAAAGCAGGGACAGGUAAAGCUGCUUCAUUAUCACCA